This is a non-coding RNA of Triticum urartu, 135 nucleotides long. The record is from Rfam. NCBI's taxonomy places the organism in Eukaryota, Viridiplantae, Streptophyta, Magnoliopsida, Poales, Poaceae.
UUCAUACUCCCUCCGUUCCGAAUUACUUGUCUUAGAUUUUUCUAGAUAUGGAAGUAUCUAGCACUAAAAUGAGUCUAGAUACAGUUGUAUCUAGACAAAUCCAAGACAAGUAAUUCGAAACGGAGGGAGUAUAAG